This 344-nucleotide unclassified non-coding RNA is filed under the name uncultured Mortierella. Its description in RNAcentral is "sequence contains ITS2". Lineage: Eukaryota; Fungi; Mortierellomycota; Mortierellomycetes; Mortierellales; Mortierellaceae. The record is from RNAcentral.
AACGCACAUUGCGCUCUCUGGUAUUCCGGAGAGCAUGCUUGUUUGAGUAUCAGUAAAACACCUCAAGUCCGCUCUUCUUUUUGAAGACGGAUUUGGACUUGAGCGAUCCCAACAGGAGGGGCUUUCCCCUCUGGCGGGUUGCUUGAAAUGCAGGUGCAGCUGGAUUUUCAUCUGGGCUAUAAGCAUAUUUAUUUAGUCCCGUUAAACGGAUUAUUACUUUUUGCUGCAGCCAACGUAAAGGUUGAUUGUCCUCUUGCUGACUGAUGCAGGAAUUUUCGGGGGAUCGGCAACGAUUACCCGUUAAACUCGAUCUCAAAUCAAGUAAGACUACCCGCUGAACUUAA